UACGUAGGGUGCAAGCGUUGUCCGGAAUUAUUGGGCGUAAAGAGCUCGUAGGCGGUUAGUCGCGUCUGCUGUGAAAACUCGGGGCUUAACCCCGGGCCUGCAGUGGGUACGGGCAGACUAGAGUGCGGUAGGGGAGACUGGAAUUCCUGGUGUAGCGGUGAAAUGCGCAGAUAUCAGGAGGAACACCGGUGGCGAAGGCGGGUCUCUGGGCCGUAACUGACGCUGAGGAGCGAAAGCGUGGGGAGCGAACAGG
This 253-nucleotide ribosomal RNA is filed under the name uncultured bacterium. RNAcentral describes it as "partial 16S ribosomal RNA". It matches the Rfam family "Bacterial small subunit ribosomal RNA", at positions 524 to 776 of the family's 1533-position model. The record is from RNAcentral.